AGACAAGAAGUCCAAAAACCCCAUUGCUAAACUGUUUAAAGCAAAGAGCAAAGGAUUCACCCUCACCACUGACGUUAAUGCUAAGGAAGAGCCAAAAUCUUGCAGAAGUCUAAAGUUGGCCAGCAUCCGAGUUUCAAUUUCUGCCCAUAAAACAACCUUACUGAAACGCACAGAGCAGUUAAAAUGUUACUCAGAGGGAAACAGGGAGGCUUCAAACUCAGCUUCUCACAUCGAGAUCCGCUACACUGACCUUUUCGUGACAGAAGACAAUGACUUAGUUGACAGUAGCCAACAUGAGUACUUUGCCUUGGCGGGCAGACGUGCUCGCAUCUAUGUCCACCAGGCCUGCCAGC
Maylandia zebra (zebra mbuna) is the source of this 353-nucleotide non-coding RNA. NCBI's taxonomy places the organism in Eukaryota, Metazoa, Chordata, Actinopteri, Cichliformes, Cichlidae. The record is from RefSeq and is a predicted model, not a curated record.